GUAGGGAAUAUUGGGCAAUGGAUGCAAGUCUGACCCAGCCAUCCCGCGUGCCGGAAGAAGGCCCUCAGGGUUGUAAACGGCUUUUGACGGUGAAGAAUCGACAGGAUGCGUCCUGUUUUGACGGUAGCCGUUGAAUAAGCACCGGCUAACUCCGUGCCAGCAGCCGCGGUAAUACGGGGGGUGCGAGCGUUGUCCGGAUUUAUUGGGUUUAAAGGGUGCGUAGGCUGGAAGGUCAGUCAGCGGUGAAAAGCUGUCGCUUAACGAUAGUCUUGCCGCAGAUACUUCCUUUCUUGGAUGAGGAGGAGGCCACUGGAACGGAUGGUGUAGCGGUGAAAUGCAUAGAUAUCAUCCAGAACACCGAUUGCGAAGGCAGGUGGCUGUACCUUAAUCGACGCUGAUGCACGAAAGCAUGGGGAGCAAACAGGAUUAGAUACCCUUGUAGUCC
This 445-nucleotide ribosomal RNA is filed under the name uncultured bacterium. RNAcentral describes it as "partial 16S ribosomal RNA". It matches the Rfam family "Bacterial small subunit ribosomal RNA", at positions 354 to 796 of the family's 1533-position model. The record is from RNAcentral.